UGACUUUGUAUCUUGUGAUCUUACAAAAGUCACUUUAGUCAUAAGAAGGUUUUUUGGUAGAUUCUUUGAAUUUUGAUUUGUUUUUAUUUUUUGUUUUCACAUAGACAAUCAUGUUGUCUGUGAAUAGGAGUAACUGAAUUUCUUCCUUUCCAAUCUUAUGCAUUGUAUUUCUUUUUCUUGCCUUAUUGCCCAGUCUGGGACUUCCAGUAUGAUGUUGAACAGGCAUGGUAAGAGUGGACACCCUCACCUUGCUCCCAGUCUCAGGGGAAAGCAUUCAGUCUUUCACUAUUAAGUAUGAUAUGAGAUGCCAGUUUUUGUAGUCAUUUAACUUCUUAACCUCUCCCUUCCCAUCAGGAUAUAUGCUCCGUGAAAGCACGCUUUCUCUGCUCUCAAUUCAACACUCAGUGCCUGGCACAUGUGUAGCACACAAUAGGCCCUCAAUAAAUAAUCCUCUACUUUGGUACCUUAGCCGCCAUAACCACUGUCCUGUAUGACAGACAACAGAGGGACUUGGCCGAACGCGCACACACAUCACGAAGAAUAAUGUUACAGUAAAUAUCCCAAUGGAUCCAACCAGGCACUGGCCCCAUAGAGUUGACUAUUUUAAGCUGCCAAGCGUCUGUAGAUCAGCUUUCUAGCAAGCCAUUCUGUGUCAAAGCAUUUAUCUAUGAGGAAUAGAUGACUGCAGUAAAAUAAUUAUUUUAGAUGAAGAGCAUUCCAUUCCCAAAGGGAAUUUAAACAAAAAGCUCCCGGCUCUGAAAAACAGGGGCUUUCAGGGUAAAGAGGCCCACUGCUCUGAAAUCUUAGGCCCUCAGAUGGGUGGGGUUGUUUCGCUAAAUUUAUUUCAGCCGCUUAUAGAAACAGAAGGGGGAAGAGCAGGGCGGCUGCUUGCACACCAGCCCUGGCUCUGGAGUAUUAAUAUCUGCCGGGUCAGGCUUUUAUUUGGGUUUUGUUUUACCUUUUGGGGGCAGGGAGGCAGGCAGGCAGCAGGAAUCUCUCACAGCUGCACAGCUUCUGAGCUGUGGUUUCCCACCUUUCCUCCUGUACCUUCCCCGGCAGGCCAAACUCAGCCCAGUCCUCCCAUGCCUCACCUUGGGACAGCCCCUUACCCACUGAACACCACGCACUGUGCCAGGCCUUUCUCUGCAGUCUCACCACAGCACCUUUGACACCAGCUUUUCUCCCAUUUCCAGAAGGGUCUGAGCACGCUGAGAGACUAAAUCUGUUUGCUUUCUUUCCGGCACAAGUGGGUACAGAGAGACUGGGGCCUUUGUCCCUGGCCCCCAUCAGAGCCGCCUACCCAAUCCCACACCCCCAGCCCCAGAGGCUCCACUACUUGAAUUUGGGGGGUUGUUGGAUGUGAAAUCCAGGCCUUUUUGUCCCUGUCUUCCUUCUCCUCAGCCUCCCCAAAGCAGCGCACAGGCAUUCUUCUUAGGCCUGAGACCUCGACCGUCUCUUCUGUCAAACACACCCCCCCUUACACAGGAAAAGGAGUUAAGUGAAACCACCAUGUUGCUUUUUAAAAACCUGUUCUUGUGCUGAAUUUGGAAUGCUUUAUGGGGCACCGGUUAAUUAUCUCCCACAGAUAUGGGGGAAACCGAGGCACCGGAGGGGAGGCGGCAGCAAGUGACCUGCGCCCCCUGCAGGUAGAUGAGAUCAGUGCUACCGGCUGGCUCUCCAGGUUCCCGCUGAACCCGAAAGAAACGGAGAAAGACAGGGCUGAGUCUGGGAGCUUGCUGCAACAUGGCUGCCGCCACAUGAGGGCAGAAAGAGGAGACGCACAAGGAAGCUGAAAAAUCUGCUGGGCUUAAAGACUUGAGUAAUUCCACGCGAAUAUGGGGAAGUACCUCACACAGUGCCCAGCCCAUGGGAACCCAACAAAUGUCAAGCUGGUUCCUUGGCAAACUCCUGCUUCCUGGGUCACCAAGGAAGAUGGGAGAAGGAGCAUCUGUCCUCUCCAUCCCCAGCCCCAAGCACCAGCCAGUUUGCUUUGGAAUUAUCCUCCAGCUCUCUCUUGCAAAACCCAGCCCAGAGUGGGCAGACCCCAUCUCAGGGAGCUGUUCCUUUGAGAAGCAGGACCCACCUCCUCAGCCAGAGCAGAGGUUAGAAAGCUCUUGGAGAGUCGCCACACAGGCAGCCAGCCGGCGGAGGAGAGAGGAUGGAUCUCUGCCACAGCCCUGUGACUGCUUCAGAGCUGAGCUUCUCUCGCCAACUGCACCCUCUGCCCCAAGGGACAGCGGGCCCCCAAACCAGGGCCUGCCCUUGUCUGACCAAAGGCAACCAGAUCUGCUGCAGCUGUUCAGUGCGAGAACAAGCUCUCCCAGAGACCAGGGAAGCAGCUGGAGAAAGAUUCCUGCCAGCCCUGGGGUGUAAAUAUUUAUACAACGUGGUGCGUGGGAAGAGGGAAGGCAGAGGGAGGUGGUAGGGACGAGGCCGCACUGAGGAAGCAGACUGAAGGAGCCUGAGCUUUGGGCUCAGGUGGGAAGCCAAGAGGCUGGUGGGACCCUAAUCUCCACCUGAAUUCCUGCAUCAAAGAGGCCCAGUCCUUGCCCCUGCUCUCCUGCCAGAGUCGAGGGGAGAACGUAGACAAAACCUCCUCCCUGGUGAAUCCCCUAACCACUCCUCUUGUCUAGAAUAGCCCUCUAUGUCAGAAGGGAGGCUCUGCGUUGAACCAGAGAUAGACCAAGUCCACACGGCCCAGGAGUUAAGGGCCUGGGGGCUCCUGGGGCUUAUGGUUCGAGGGUCUUAAAGGAUGCUGGACCCCAACAGUUGGCCUCCAGGGCUGAUGGCUUAGAAGACAUAGGCAAAUUAUAAAAUAUAAGCAGAGAUUUCUCUCUAGCUUCUAUAGAAUCAAUAGUACUUUUCUAAAGUGGCAGAGAACAUUGUGCGUUGAUGAAGAUGAUGAGGAGGAAUGGAGGGGACCUGGCAAGAGAGCAAGGUGUGGAGAAGGCGAGGGGGCCCUUGAUGGCACUCCAAGAGAAGACGUGGUCACCAUCACCACAGGGCCUAGGAAAGGACGGUGCAACUCAAUGGGCGUCCAGCUGAUGCUCUUGGGCCCGCCCCCUGCAGCGCAGCUCUAGGUGUGCCCCAAGCAGAGUACUGGGUGGGCCUGCGGGACUCAACUAGCGCCCAACAGCAUUGACACCCGGGGAUGGGAAGCAAGCCUUGUGGGGGUGGGGGGGUCCCUACAGCCAGAUGGACUUCAGUCGAUCUGCCUCAGACAGCUGGGGAGCAGAGCCGGACCGCCUCACACCCCUCCCCCACCACUCCAGACAAGGAGGGGUGCGGCUGCAACUUCUAGGUUUUCUCUGCCACCGCGCCCAUCGAGAAGUGCCACCUGCUCCUAUCAGUACCAGAGCUGACCCUCAGGGCCUCCCACAGGUGGGGUUUGUGUUGCUCCCCAGUAGCCAAGAGCUUUUAAGACAGCUCGCAAUUAUCAGCCUCUUGUAUUCUCCGUGUGCCCUCAAAACACCCACCUGCCAGGGGUGGGGGGCAUUGGGAAGGAAGGACUUUCCCCUGGAAAACUGCCUCUGUCUCCCCAGCAGACAGUUCCAGAUGUCCAGGCCGACUUCUGCCAGAGAGUGAGGACCAAAGGAUACCCAGACUCCUCCAAGAGGCAGACCCUAUGCUGUUGUCCUCCCACCCACAGCACAGAGUUUGCAGGUGACACAUUCCCAGUGGGUGCACCUCCCUGAGCUCCAGCCUUUCUGGGUGGAAGCUGGUGAAUCCCCCACACCCAUCCACCCAGAGAAGGAUGGAUUCCAUUGCCUCCCUGAGCAAUGGGGCCCAGGCCCACACACCAUGGAGGAAACACCAUCUGCCCCCAACCCUCAGCCCAGGCCUGGCAGACAACAUCAACCCUCACAGGGGGAGAGCCUCACUGCCCCCAGCCCCCUCUCCAGAAAGAAGCUCCUCUUCCAAGGACACUGGGGGCUGGGGGAGGACCUUCAGACACCCAGGUCCUCUUCUGCCACUGUGCCUCUGCCUGCCGGCUGUGGCCUCCUUCUUGCCAGCACUGCUUAAACAAAUGAACAAGAAUAAAAGCCUGUGUGGCCCAAGGAAAGCUUGAGGGGAAAGAACUGAAGCUGAAGGAAAAGGAAAAAAAAGAAAAACCUAACUAUAAGAAAUAGGAAGGAGGGAAAUUCAGGAAACAGACAAAAUAAACCAUCCAGGAAUCCAGAUGUAAAACAAAGAAGGCCAAAAGAAAAGAAAAAUUAUGCUAAGGAGGCAGACUGGGGUGGGGAGGGGAAUUGGGAAUAAAAAAGAAGAGGGAGACAGUUAUAAAUAUUCUGAAAAGAGAGAAGAAUGUGAAAGCAAACGACACCAGAAAAAAUAAAAAAUAAAGAGAGACCCAGGAGAGAAAAGGAGGCAACAAUGAAUUUAAAACAACUCUGUUGACCCUCAACCAGCCACACUCAGUUAUGCUCUGAGUCUUAUUGCUUUUUGUAGAUUUCAGAACACUGAGCCAGCACAGUUGUAGAAAAGCAAGCUUUCCUUCUUGCCCUUCUUUUCCCUACAGUUCUCCCAAUUCACCUCCACUGUUGGUCUUUUGCAGAGUGAGGGCUGAUCUUCCUGGGACAAGGCUGGAAACCAUUCCAGUUCACCCCUGAGUCUGGUGGCUUCCAACAUGGUGCCCUCUGGAGGGCUCACUGGAGAAUCUGAGCCAGAGGAGCCCUGUGGCAGGAGAAGCUUUGGGUGUGAUGGAACUGUGUUAUCAGCUUUGCAUCUUCCAGGGUGAGGCUUACCUAGCCACCUUUCUGUGGACCAGGGCUAACCCAACCCACAGACACACCACUCCUGGAACAGCAAGGGUUCGUGGAAGAUUGGCAUACCCAACUCUAUGCAAAGCCAGAGGGGUCCCAGCAAAUGCAACUUUCAGAAACAGAUGAUUUAAAUUAAUUUCCAGGCAUUCCCAAGGGAAGCUAAAGAUAGCCACAGCUUUCCCAUUGCCACGGUUGGCAAACAGCUUCUUGAAGUUCACCUUCAAUGUUUUUGUGUCCAUAAACCCCAUGAGCACUUACAGAAGAUGCUGGUUCCACUCCUUCUGUCUUCUUGGCCUCUUUUCAGCCUUCUAUGGACUCUUUCUUCUGAGAGUCUGCCAAUGCCUCUCUUCUCUGUGUCUGCUUUGGUUUUUCCAUUUCCCUUACUUAAUCAUACCCACCUCUGCCCACUCUUUCUUCUAUUUCUCUAGGGCAGCAAGAGUUGCAAGAAAGUGAAGCAAACCAAGGCAAAAUUGAGAAGCAACAGAAGUAAAAAUGCAAGUGUGUUUGCCUUAGCGCUUGGCUUUGGCGUGCCCCGGCUGUCUGCAGUAGGUGAGGCUGGCUCCCAGGGGACAGGGGUCUGAGCCUCACCAGGCCGCCUAAAACUGCUCCUCCAAAGUUCAGCCAAGGGGAAGCCACACAGGCUGAACUCUGAUCAACUGGGACAAAGAAAAUGGUGCCCAUACCAGCCCUUCUCCUUCUGAGAAUUCUUUUUCUUUUUUUGAGGAAGAUUAGUCCUGAGCUAACUACUGCCAGUCCUCCUAUUUUUUACUGAGGAAGCCUGGCCCUGAGCUAACAUUGUGCCCAUCUUCCUCUACUUUAUACGUGGGACGCCUACCACAGCAUGGCGUGCCAAGCGGUGCCAUGUCCACACCCAGGAUCCGAACGGGCGAACCCCAAGCCGCUGAGAAGCGGAACGUAUGAACUUAACCACUGCGCCACUGGGCCAGCCCCCUACUUCUGAGAAUUCUUAAGUACUUGACCCUGAUUCUGUACAUUCCAAAAGUCAUAUUUUUCUUCUAGCAAAAACUGAGAGAUGUGACAAAAUGUAUAGAAGGGAUAAUGUCUAGGUUGUGGCCUUAGAUACUCAACCCAGUUUCUUCUCAUCCUUCUUAACCUUCAAACCUGUCACAGUCGUAUAAUCUAUGACUCAAAACUAUUAUUUAACUAUGAAAAAAGACAAACCAGGAAAUUAGAGGCUGAAUGACCUAAAAUUUAUUCCAUUCAACUGAGCUAAUCCCCUAAUAAGGGUGUGUAUAACAAUCAGUCUUGCUACAGCUCUUCUGGAAGAUGUGAACGUUGCGGGGAACAUACACAGUGCCUGCAGAUCCCAACUUGUCAAGAUUUGUCCUCAAAAGGGUAAGUGCCUGGUCCUAGGCCAAGCUGCCUAGCAGUUUGUUAGAUGAGUCUUAACAUUUGGGAACCAACAUGUUGCAAUGGAGAGUGCCUGAUGCUCAGGCUGACCACAUUGAUAUCUGGCACUGCCACUUCCUAGGCAAGCAAGGGACUUACCUGCCCUCCCCUAGUCUCCUCUGCUGUGAAAUGGCAAUGACAGCGAUACCCAUCUCCUGGGGCUGCCGCGAGGACAGAUGAGCAAAGCGCUUGGCACGUGUGAGCAUCCCUAGUCAACUGUUGCUGUAUGUUAAGCUGCGAAUUGGCAAGACCGAGAAGAAGGCUGGAGGCCCCACAAAGUGGGGUUCCACGGAGUCACUGGAACACAGUCAAGUAUCCUGAGCAAGAGAGAGAAGAGGGUCCCAGAGGAGGCCCAGGCAGCUGGCGGGUGGAGCGCUGCUCCGACAGCCAAGGACAGCCAGUCACAGCCGGGUGUCCUCCGGGGUGGGAGGACGCAGGGGGCUGCACUGCAGUCCUCCCGCAUUAGCUCAACGCCGCUGCAUCCCCACCCUUGCAUGUGUUCAUCCUGACAUGAAACCCAGCACGCAGUGACCUCACCCCCACUAUGUGCAGCCGCUGGCCAAGCAGAGAGCUGUACCAGAGUGAGCUUCAGAAGUGCUCAUUGGCCUCAGAGAUUUCAUAACUGGGCGUUUCUGCCCAAAUGCAGAAAUCUGUCUUUGAACUAGAGUUUAAGGAUGUGACCAAAUGCUGAGAAAUUCUUAUUUCAGGGCUGAUUUUUUUUUCUGUAAGUAGAAAGGCAAAGAGUUCAAAAUAUAUUCUGGAAAUGUGAACAGCAACUGAAUCUUGGUAAUAUUUAGGGAGUAUUAUUAAUUUUUAGGUGAAAUAAGGACAGUGUGGCUAAGUUGAAUGAGUCCAUUUUUUUUAGAGCUACAUACUGAAAUACCAACAGAUGAAAUGAUAUGAUCCAAUAUAUAGGAUUUACUUCAAAAUUAUAUGGGAGGUGGGGAGGCAGCUGGUGCUGUAAAUGAACAAGCUUGGCCAGGAGUUGGUGAUGUUGGUGAUGGGAGUUCCUCAUACUCUCUGUCUUCUUCUGUACACGCUUGAUGUUUUCCAUAAAAAAAUGUUUUAAGUUCAUAAAAGCUGAAAAAAAUUUAACUCAGGGAUUCUUGUUUUACUGGUUCUUGCAACAUGAUAUUUACUUCCGAAGGACAUGUGCUCUUGGACAAGAGAUGAGCUUGUAGGGGGAUGUGCCCAGAGCCGCGGAGGACUGGCAAAGAGACAGGGAGACCACCACCCCGGGGUCAGG
Molecule: long non-coding RNA, 7419 nt
Filed under: Equus asinus (donkey)
Lineage: Eukaryota; Metazoa; Chordata; Mammalia; Perissodactyla; Equidae
Description: lncRNA (ENSEASG00005023984.1)
Source: RNAcentral